Molecule: ribosomal RNA, 464 nt
Filed under: uncultured bacterium
Lineage: Bacteria
Description: partial 16S ribosomal RNA
Rfam family: Bacterial small subunit ribosomal RNA
Source: RNAcentral
ACGCACGCUGGCGGCGUGCUUAACACAUGCAAGUCGAACGGAAAGGCCCCUUUUGGGGUACUCGAGUGGCGAACGGGUGAGUAACACGUGAGUAACCUGCCCUUGACUUCGGGGUAACUUCAGGAAACUGGGGCUAAUACCGGAUAGGAAUCCUUGCUGCAUGGUGGGGGUUGGGAAGCUUCGGCGGUUUUGGAUGGACUCGCGGCUUAUCAGCUUGUUGGUGGGGUAGUGGCUUACCAAGGCUUUGACGGGUAGCCGGCCUGAGAGGGCGACCGGCCACAUUGGGACUGAGAUACGGCCCAGACUCCUACGGGAGGCAGCAGUGGGGAAUAUUGCACAAUGGGCGGAAGCCUGAUGCAGCAACGCCGCGUGCGGGAUGACGGCCUUCGGGUUGUAAACCGCUUUCAGCAGGGGCGAAGCUUGUGGUGACGGUACCUGCAGAAGAAGCACCGGCUAACUACGUG